GACGAACGCUGGCGGCGUGCUUAACACAUGCCAGUCGAACGGAAAGGCCCUGCUUUUGUGGGGUGCUCGAGUGGCGAACGGGUGAGUAACACGUGAGUAACCUGCCCUUGACUUUGGGAUAAGUUCAGGAAACUGGGGCUAAUACCGGAUAGGAGCUCCUGCUGCAUGGUGGGGGUUGGAAAGUUUCGGCGGUUGGGGCUGGACUCGCGGCUUAUCAGCUUGUUGGUGGGGUAGUGGCUUACCAAGGCUUUGACGGGUAGCCGGCCUGGGAGGGUGACCGGCCACCUUGGUACUGCGGGACGGCCCAGUCUCCUACGGGGGGCAGCGGUGGGGAAUAUUGCACAAUGGGCGCAAGCCUGAUGCAGCAACGCCGCGUUCGGGAUGACGGCCUUCUGGUUGUAAACCGCUUUCGCCUGUGACGAAGCGUGAGUGACGGUAAUGGGUGAAGAAGCACCGGCUAACUACGUG
RNAcentral lists this ribosomal RNA (468 nucleotides) under uncultured bacterium. Its description in RNAcentral is "partial 16S ribosomal RNA". It matches the Rfam family "Bacterial small subunit ribosomal RNA", at positions 28 to 507 of the family's 1533-position model. The record is from RNAcentral.